CUGCUGCCUCCCGUAGGAGUCUGGUCCGUGUCUCAGUACCAGUGUGGGGGACCUUCCUCUCAGAACCCCUACGCAUCGUCGGUUAGGUGGGCCGUUACCCCGCCUACUGCCUAAUGCGCCGCAUGCCCAUCCCUGUCCGGCCGAAGCCUUUCCUGCCUCCGGGAUGCCCCGGUUGGCAUGUACGCGGGUUUAGCCCGCCUUUCGGCGGGUUGUCCCCCUGACAGGGGCAGGUUGCAUACGUGUUACUCACCCGUGCGCCGGUCGCCGGCGGAGAAAG
Molecule: ribosomal RNA, 277 nt
Filed under: uncultured bacterium
Lineage: Bacteria
Description: partial 16S ribosomal RNA
Source: RNAcentral